UAAAGAAAUAUAUCUUUACAUGCUUUUGUCCCAAAUUUUUUUUGUCCAAAUAACGUUCGGUAGCUUUUGAUACCAAUCAAAUCCCGAAUAAAAAUUAGUCGAAUACUAAGAGUUGCUUGACUACAUAUUGUUGUACAAAUCCAGAUAUGAUAUUUGGAUUGAUCAAUAAUUUAGCUGUAACUGUCAGAGCUGCAUCCAAAUUAGCUGUGAUUUCAAAUGCAAUAAUUAAAAAGAGUAAAUUUAAAUAAGAAAUAAGUUAAAGAUUAAUGAUAUAUAGAUUCAUUUAUGUAGAAUACUUGUCAAAGGGAAACUUAUUGGAGACAACCCCUCCUUAAAUUUUGGUGCCCACAAAUAAUAAAAUAAAUUAAGCAGGACCCAAAAUUAACCUCUUGGCCAUCCAGCUUUCUCCUGUCAUUGCCAUGCAAUUAAUGAAUUUAAAAUUUAUAUAUAAAAGAAAGAACUUGUGCUUAUCCAAAAAGCACCAUUCAAUGUGUGGAUAUAUCACUAGGCCACUCUUGAUGUUGGCAUAUGAUGAUGAUGAUAAUAAUAAUAAUAAUAAUAAUAAUGUGGAGCAGGUCGGGUGUGCUAUUAAAAGCAUGGAGGCCAUCAUGCUGCUAAGCCGCCUUCAAUAAUAGAGCUUUCAAAUUGACGAUCGACUCUGUUAGACUUGAUCUAGCAUAUUUGAAGUAUCUAAAUAAUAAAUUUUAUGAUUUUUCAAUAUCAUUUACUUAGUGAUCAGGUAGUCGUAGACAUUUGAUCAUACUAAUUAAUUUUUGAAUAUUAUGUGCUUCUUAAUAAAUUUGAAAGGAUAUACUGAAUAAAAUAUUCAUGCAUCGCUUAAAAAUCUGCCACAAUCGUUUUCGAGUGAAGCACUGUAAAAUUUUUUAAAUGGUCAAAACUUCUUCUUCUUCUUUUUGGUAAAAGCGUAUAUAAUUUAUCUGAAUUAUGAAUCAUUUUGAAUCGACUAUUCGAUCUUUUAAAAUUUUGAUUUUACUAUCUAAUCUUUCAAUUUGUUUGAUUUAAAACAGCCAACAGCAAUUUACCUUCAAAACUUGAAUAUGUUGUUUAUGUUUAUCAACUAUAAUCAAUACAAUUCUCGCAACGAUAAAUUUAUCAAAAGAAGUAAUUAAUUUAAAUUUUGAAAUCAAAAUGUCGAUAACUGACUCAAAUCAAACAAGUUAAUUAAAAAGCUUGAUAAUAAAAUCAAAAUUUUGAAGGGCUAAAAAAUAAUCCAUAUUUUAGAUAAAUGCAAAACGGAACCUUCUCUCUNNNNNNNNNNNNNNNNNNNNNNNNNAGCGGCGGCGGCCGCUGCGUGGGCGCGCGGCCAGGGGGCGCAGGGCAAGAUUGGGAUUGAAGAUGGCAUUCAAGUUAGGGUAUAUGUGGCCACUAGGGAUGUGAGUGCCCCCAUUUUGUGAGUUGCGCGAACUCAACUUUGUGGCUCCUAUGGUGGAAGUGAAUGUAAUAUAGAUCUCUAUGUGCUCAUGAGUGCAGGUGGCAAGAACCAUGCCUUUUGCGAAUCAUUUAGUUGUGUGAAUCUAGACCUCAGAUGAAACUACUGAAUCAAGGAAUAACAGCGGAACAUUCUGCUGCCCCUCUACAUAGACUUUUAUUUUUAUUAUUAUUAUCUUUAAAUGUUAUGUCUAUUUUCGUUUAUUGUGAUGAAAAUUGAAUAGUGCGAUCGGGCAUGGCCUGUUCUUUUGCCGAGCAUGCGCGCAGGCGGCCCCAUCAUACUGAGCCAGCCAUACGUACGCUCUGCCAAGAUAUGUACAUCCUCACCUUGAAAAAAUAACAAAAACAAAAAACAAAAAGUGAAUCAAACACGAAUGGUGAAUCAUGUCUUCAUUGGAACAAACCCUUAUAGAGCCUAAGGUCCAUAGGCUGCAGCUUAGUACUAGGAGCCUAAGGAGGGUCAGUGUAGUGCAAUAAAUGCAGGGGUGGGGGUGGGAGCAGUGGCACGAGUAACUUUAUUUCCAACCAAUAUAUAUAUAUAUAUAUAAUAAUAUAUAUAUAUAUAUAUUAUAUAUAUAUAUAUAUAUAAUAUAUUAUAGAGUAGGGCUAGAAUACUUUUACAAGUAUCACCCGAGUGAUACUUGUGUGUUUUUAGCCAUUGGAUCUACUUUUUGAUUACUAAUAGUCCUUGAAUCAAACACUAUUCCACCUACCACCACCUACCACCACCUACCACCAUCAUCUCAACCUCACAUCUCUCCGUCCAAGGGCGAAAACACACAUAAUUCACUUGGGUGAUACUUUACAAGUAUUCUAGCUCAACUCAUAUAUAUAUAUAUAUAUAUAUAUAUAUAUAUAUAUAUAUAUAUAUAGUUGAGGCUACUAUGCUAUCGGAAGUACGGAGCCUUCCGUGCUUUCCAACUCGUUUUCGAUAUUGCGACUUUCGAAUCGUCGAUCGGCUCCGUUAAACUUGAUCUAGAGUAUUUGAAGUAUCUAGAAAAUAAAUUUUAUGAUUUUACGAUAUCAUUUGCCUGUGAACGAAGGGGCUCAAAAUCAACGGCUGAAAAUAAAAAUCUUACAAAGAUGUAAUAAUAUAAUAUUAAAAUUUUAAAUCAAAGUAUUGAUCUUGUUUUAUAUAGUAUAAAGAAUUUUCUAUCAAAAUUUCACGUGAUUUGGAUAUUUCUGCACCGCGUUAAACUUGCAAACGGCGUCACUACGGCCAUUGAAAUUUGUUGAUUUUGAGCCUUCGAUCACUAGGCAAAUGAUAUCGAAAAAUAAUAAAAUUUACUUUAUAGUACUCCAAAUACUCUAGAUCAAGUUUAACGGAGCCGAUUGACGAUUCGAAAGUCGCACAUCGAAAACGAGCUGAAGCACGGAAGGCUCUAUGCUUCCGAUAGCAUAGUAGCCCUCACUCUAUAUAUAUAAUAUAUAUAUUAUAUAUUACUAGUUAAGUGCACGUGCAACGCACGUCACACAAAUACUAAAAAAAAAAAAAAUUUAUAAAUAAAUAUUAAAGAUUCGAUAAAAUAAUAUUUAAUCAUUACUAAAUAAAAUGAUAAAAAUAAAAAUAGAAUUACAAUAUCAUAAAAGAAAGAACACAAAAUCUAGUAUCAUUAAAAAAAAUAGAAAAUUCGUCACUAAACUAAUUGAAAAUGUCACCAUUAGUUCCCCUUCCGUACAAAUUGCAUUGUAAGUAAAAAAACAAUAAAAUAAAUAUUAUAAAUCAUCAGAAUAGAUAAAAUUAAAAAAAAUGUAAAUUUAAUAAGAAUUCAUAUAAGUAAAAAAUUUAGCUUAAUUUUAUUUCUUGAGUUUUUGGAAUUGGUGGAUUAAGCACAAUUUUACUUAUAAAAUUUUGCUAAAUUGAUCCUGAUAAAUAAAUUUAAAAUACCAUAAAAAAAUAAAAUAUUAAAAGUACAUUUAUCCAAAUUUAUCGAUUAUUAAAGUGUACUAUUUUUAUACAACAACUGAAUUGUUUACAUAGUAUCUCUCCAAAUGCAAGUGUGUUUAUAGCACUAUCUUGUUCUAAGAGUAUGAAUCUAAUUCGAUUCAUACUUCAAUCCAUCCAAAUAAUUAGUUAUUAAUAAUUUUUUUAUGCCAAUGUGUGUUAGCAUUAUCUUUUCCUAGAAAAUCAAUCUAAUUCAAUUCAUACUUCAAUCCAUCCAAAUAAUUAGUCUUAAUAUUUUUUCAUGUAAAAUGUUAAAAAGAGAAAUAUUUAAAUUAAAAAAUUCAAAUUAUCAAAUCGCGGGUAUUAAAUUUGGCGGCAUUACAAAUUUAAAUUUAAUUUGGUACUUAGAUUGGUAGUAUUACGUUUGAGAAAAAAAAUAUUUGAGAAAAGUUUGGAUAUGUAAUAAUUUAAUUUUACAUAUUACGUGAUUAGCGGAGAUAUUAUGUGAUUGGGGGCGGUAGACGUUAGAUAAGUGAUAAAUUUAGUUUUACGUAUUACAUGAUUGUUGGUAGAAAAAAUAUUUGAAAAAAGGAUAUUUUGUCAACAAAAAUAACAGAUACUUUUAUUUUUAUUCGUUGGAAAGAUUCAAUGGCGAAAACUUAAGAUCUAUAUUUGAGAAUAAAUUAUUAUUUGAAGAUUUAUUUAAAAUAGAUAAAAUAUAUUUUAUAUUUGAGAACACGGAGAAUAUUUUGGUGUUGAAUAUUUUGGUAAAAAUAUUUAAAAUUAUAUUUAAUUAACGAUUUUGUUUUGCUUGGGCGGGUAUUAAUUUUUUUAAAAAAUAUUCUAUACUUUUACGAUGCAUUAUUUAAAUAUUGAAUAUUUUGUUAAAAAUAUUUAAAAUUAUAUUUAAUUAACGAUUUAGUUUUGAUUUUGGGUAUUAAAAUAUUUUUAACAAUAUUUAACGCUUUUAUGGCGCGCCAAAUUUUAAUACUCGUCAAAAUUAAAUCUACUAUUUUAUUUAAGGAAAAACCUACUAUCAUAAAUUAAAAUUCAAAUUAUCAAAUUCGCGGGUAUUAAAUUUAUGCGGGCAUUACAAAUUUAAAUUUUAAUUUUGAAUACUACAUGUUGGCAGCAAAUAAAUUUAAUUUUACGUAUUACGUGAUUAGCGAAGGUAUUGCAUGAUUGGCUGGUAUUACGUUAGAUAAGAGAUAAAUUUAGUUUUACGUAGAUAGGAGAUAACGGAUAUAAAGGGUAUUUUUGUCAACAAAAAUGACAGAUACUUUUAUUUUUAUUCGUUGGAUGAGAUCUAAUGGCGAAAACUUAAGAUCUAUAUUUAAGAAUAAAUUAUUAUUUAAAGAUUUAUUUAAAAUGAGUGGUUGAAAUUUACUGGACAUGACAAUAUUAGUAAAAGAGAUAGAGACAUUUUUGGAAAGGAAAAAAUUUCAAAACUCACGCUUUUAUAAGUAGUAUAGAUAUAUAUAUAUAUAUAUAUAUAUAUAUAUAUGCUAAUGCUACUAUCCUAUUAAUAGGAUAAUGAAACUCCAAUGAGUUAUGAAGUGACUCUUAGACUUUUGGCUCAUUAUGAGGGUGAGUUAAUGUGUCUCAUAAUGAGAGAGUUAGUGUGUGUCUAGAUUCAUUGUAUCUAGGAGCCUAUAAGUGUGGGAUUUGGUUAAGGCCAAAACACACAAGAGGGAGUGUGUAUGUAAGUUGUAAUUCUCAUUUUCUAAGUAGUGUAGUACUUAGCUUUUUAAGAGAAUCUCUGUCUCUCUCUCUUUGUCAUUCCCUUAGCAUACUUAGUCGUAGGACGCGAAGGUCCGGACUAGCAACAGGGACGAAGGCUUGCCCAUCUUCGAGCAGGAAGGCGGGCGCCGCACGGGCUUUGCGAACAGAAACAAUAAGGCCGUGACAGUUGGUAUCAGAGACGGUUCGAGAAGGAACCAUGUAUUCAGAAGCUGCCGUCGUUAACGUUGUGCCUGAGCCCAGGGCGACCAAACACGGCAAGAGCAAGGAGCCGCGGACUCUGGCGAGAGAGUCCGUCUUGCUUGAUGACCGCGUAGGCGUGCUGGAGGACUCUGCUGCGAGCGCGGAGGAGCGCUACUCCGACCUAUCCCAACAUGUGGGGAUGUUGGAGGAGAGGUUUUAUUUAAUGGAGAUGGAUAUUGUUGCAGCUAUGGCAACAUUCCGCCAUCGUCUGGAGCAGUUCAAAGUGAAUCUUGCCCGUCGCAACAACGAGCGGGAUGUGCGAGAUGUGCUGUUUCAGGACAUUGGUGCCCAGGUCAAGUUGGUCGAGGACCUCAAGACGAGGGAGGCACUACCUGAGUGAAUCGAGGGUGAUCGAGUUGAACCACCAAAGACGAGCGAGGCCAAAGGUGGGGGAGAGCACCACGAUCUAGGGGACGCAAAAGGGCGCAACGAGAGUCCAACUCUGACAACCCUGCAGCUUUGCGAGGAGGUGAAGCGCGAGAAGGCUGGGGACCUCGAGGAGGAGGGCCUGAGCAGCGGCGAGACUAUCGAGUCUCAUGCGGCGCUGGAGCGGCCAGCGUCCAACCAAAGUGCAAGUCAUUCUGCCAACGAGCCUGCGACGACCAAAAAGCGUUUUGCAGCUUAGCAGUGUACGCGUGCGUGUCGCGGAGGACAUGCACACUCGAGGUGUUCUGCGGCUUGGCAGAGUGUGCGUGCGUGUCGCGGAGGACAUGCACAUUCGGCGAACUCUUCGCACAGCAGGCUCGCUGGUGCACUUGCUCAAAGGGGCAAAACACUAGGUGCUGGUGCGGGGACAUGUGCGGACAUUGGGAGCAAAGCACGGGGCCGAUCGCGCGUGAAGGCACGACGGACCGCGCGGAAGGCUAUGCGGACUGGGAGCGACUCUGCACGCGACGAGGGCGUCUGCGCGUUAGGGGAGGGAGAAUGUCACGGACAAAAUGUUUUCCGCUGACUUCUCCUUGACAGUGGCCCAACUUCGCUAGCGAAGCGGGUUGUUAAAGUGACCCGAACCCAACCCGUUAUGGAGAGAUGAGGGGUUUUGUAACCUCUCCCAUCAAUGAUGGAAACUUAAGGGUUAUGAAACUCCCAUGAGUUAUAGGGUGACUCUUAGACUUUUGGCUCAUUAUGAGGGUGAGUUAAUGUGUCUCAUAAUGAGAGAGUUAGUGUGUGUCUAGGUUCAUUGUAUCUAGGAGCCUAUAAGUAGUGGGGUUUGGUUAAGGUCAAAACACACAAGAGGGAGUGUGUAUGUGAGUUGUAAUUCUCAUUUUCUAAGUAGUGUAGUACUUAGCUUUUUGAGAGAAUCUCUGCCUCUCUCUCUUUGUCAUUCCCUUAGCAUAUUUAGCCGUAGGACGCGAAGGUCCGGACUAGCAACAGGGACGAAAGCUUGCCCAUCUUCGAGCAGAAAGGCGGGCGCCGCACGGGCUUUGCGAACAGAAACAACAAGGCCGGGACACUAAAGUCCAUAGGCUGCAGCUUAGUACUAGGAGCCUAGGAGGGUCAUUGUAGUGCAAUAAAUGCAAGGGUGGGGGGUGGGAGCAGUGGCACCGAGUAACUUUAUUUCCAACCAAUCAUAUAUAUAUAUAUAUAUAUAUAUAGGCUAAUGCUACUAUCCUAUUAAUAGGAUAAGAGCACUUGUCCUAUCAAGUUAUUCUUGAUGAUCGAGAUUCCGAAUCGAUGAUCGGAGCUGUUGAAGUUGAUCUAGAGUAUUUGAAAUAUCUAGAAACUAAAUUUCAUAAAUCUUGAUAAUUAUUUACAUGGUGAUCAAAGUGUCGUAAAAUCAACAAUUUUUGACGGUCUAUAUGAGCCGUUUGCUUGUUUAACGGUGUAGAGCAAUCCAAAUUGCUUGAAUUUUUGAUAGAAAAUUCUUUAUACUAUUUAGAUAAUGUUUGAUAACUCUGAUUACGAACUGAGAAAGUCUAACCUCUAUUUUAAGAAGGUUAUUCAUUUAUGACCGUUCAUUUUUCAACUCUUAAGAUGAACUUGAUAAUGAUUUUUAAAUAUUACAAAAUUUGGUUUCUAAAUAUUUCUAAUUGUGUAGAUUAAGUUCAACGGUGCCGAUUAUUAAUUUGAAGUUCCGAUUUUUCAAAUCGACUUGAUAGGAUAAGGGUCCCAAUCCUAUUAAUAGGAUAGUAGCCGGACGCUAUACAUAUAUAUAUAUAUAUAUAUAUAUAUAUAUAUAUUUCGAAAUAAAAAAAUUUGAUUGAUCUGAAACAUGAAAUAUGAAAAAUAAACAAUAUUGUACAACUAUUACAUUGAAGAUCACCUAUAAGUGCCCAAAGUGUACUUAUACGGCUGUAAGUUUGAGAUAUAAAUAGAUUCAGAUUAGUGUUGUUUUUGUCCUUAUUCAUCUCAAAAUAAUAAUAGAAAAAACUUCAAAACGCUCCCUGUGGUUUCGCACGUUUUCACUUCAAUAUCUUGUGAUUUAAAGUGCAUGAAUUUAGUGCCAUGUGGUUUUAUUUUUCUCUUUUUAUUAUCAAUUUCGCUAUUUUUUUUCUUAAAUCAGUAACAAAAUUAAAAUUAAAGGGUAUUAAAGAGAAUAUUCGAUAAACUUAGAUGGGUAUCUGAAGUUUUUUGUAUAUAAUUUAACGAAAUAUUAACGAAAAAAUAGCUGAAAAGAUAAAAAUGAAACCACAUGGCAUUAAAUUGAUACAUUUUAAACCACAUGGUACUAAAGUGAAAAAGUGCGAAACUACAGGAAGAGUUUUUGAAAUUUUUCCCUAAUAAUAAUAGAGACUAAAAUUAAAAAAAUAAUUUCCUCUAUAUAUUUCCAGAUCUGUUAAAAAAAUAGAGCUGAUGGCGGGGAUUCCUUCCCCUUCAUUCUUUUGAUCUUUUUCUAUCCUUCAAAAUUUAUUUUUGCUCCGCUUUGCUCUGAAUAAAAUUAUAGUAAUAUAAAUAAAUAAAUAAAAAUCAAUCAGUUUAGAAUUUUUUCCCAUCUAUCGAAAAACAAGAUGGGAGGUGGGAAUCCCCUCCUACCCUCAGAUCCGCCCAUUUGCAUUCCUAUUUAUAAGCCUCACGCACCUCACUCUCAUUUUUAAUAAGUAAUAUUUUAAAGUUUAAAUCUUAUUUGAUGGAUGUGAUUUGUUAUCGUUAAAGAAUUUAUAUAUAAAUAAUGAUGUACUUUUAAAUUUUAUUAUCUAGAUAAAAGUUAAUAAUAAAGAAGGAAUUAUUGUUUGAUUUAUUCAACAACUUAGAUACAAAUUGCGAAACCAUCACAAAUGUACAUGUAUGCAGGAUGUAGUUGUGAAUCUUACGCUCCAUGCAUACAUGUACGUAAGAAUUUACACCUUCUUUUUAAGAGAUACUGACCAAUUUACUCCCCAUUUUUGGUAUGUAUUGAGCAUUGCCCUUUUUAAAGUCACUGGUCACUACCUCAUGUGGGGGUGCAAUGCAUGUGCUGACAUGCAAAUGCGUGAGCUUGGGGCAAAAGCCCCUGAGCAACAUUCAGGUAGAACUGCAGCUCCAGUAUUUCCCCUUCCUUUUCCAAAGACUUCCCAUCUUUUGAGUCUUCUCUUCAAUGCACUCUCCCUUACUUUCUUCCAUCUACUAUGUGUUCUCUCUUGUCACACGCUUCUUCUGUUUUUUUUUUUUUUUUUUUGAAAAAUAGAUAGCAAGCUAGCUGCUUCAUUCAUUAAGUAAAAUAAACUAAGCGUAUAUGGUGGAAGCAGAUAGAGCCUCCAAAAUGAGCCAGCAGAAAAGAGGGAAAUCCCAAAAAAACAAAACACAGUACCUAUCGAUAAGACAAAAGUUAACAAGGAAAAAACGGAGGGUGACGAACGAAAGUAACAGUCUGUUACUUUCUAGUUUCAGUUAUUGCUAAUAGAGCGCCAGCAAAAAAAAAGAGAAAAAUAUUGUUUCUGUUACGGUGAAAAUUUUAAAUGAUUAAAAGCAAUUUGUUAACUAUGAAAAAGCUUCACUAGAUUUUCUUUUUGAAAAAUUAUUCAGCGGAAAAUAGGAAAGAGCUUUUGGUUGCGGCGGGGAACUGCAACAAUGAUUUUGCGCAUCAGGAAUCUAAUAAAUUGCUUGUUUGAUACCGCUUCCAUUUUAAUUUCGGACCGCGGUCGUGAUCAGCAGCGUAGUUAAUAAAUUUAAAAAAUUUAGGAAACAAUAAAUAAAAAAAAAGUAAAUAACGCCUUAUAAGGACAAGGCCGAACAUGGCCGAAGUCUCAAGCUUCCUCUCUUGUAACUUCAGUGCAAAGCUACAUAUUAGUUGUUUUGACAGAAAACACUGCUUUUUAGAAGUACAUGCACCUGUUUGCUUAGAUCCUGUCAUUAGAGGGGAGCCUAGUUUUGGAAGUGCUAAUGAUUGAAGAUAUAUAUAUAUAUAGCAGAGUAAUCCUAUCCUCAGAUUCUAAUAUUAGCUACGCUGCUAGGGUGUGCGCAGUAGAUUGUAGAUUGGAAAAGAGAAAAAAAUGAAGCAGCAGGUGAACUUGAGUGAAUGGCUUUUCUUGCGCAGCAGAUAGAUAAAAAAACCAACUCCUCAUUAGUUGUUUCUGAAACCCCUCCCAACCCUCAUUUAAAACCUGUCAGAGCCCUGAAAUCUCCCCACUAGAUUUUGCUGACAUCAUCUUGUCCACUACUUCCUUCCCAAUACUGCAAUUCCUUCCACUGUGCCAGAAAACCCAAUUUCUCAUCUUUUUUAAGUCCCCAAGAAAGAAAAAAUAAAAAUAAAAAAGCUGAGGCAUAAAAGCCCAGUACUCUCUGUCUGAGGUGCAGCUGAGAACCUGCACAGAGAUUCCAGAUAUUUUGGCUGCCACUAUCAUUGCAUAGAGAAGCAGAUGGAGAUGGGAGAGAGAGAGGAGGAGGAGGAGGAGGAGGAGGAGAUAAGAAGAGAGAGAGAGAGAGAGAGAGAGAGGGAGGGGAGAUGGGCCCCCAAAAGCCUGCACAAAAAGGCAAAUGUAUUUCCUCCUCUCCAUCCCCACUUCACCCUUCCACUUGUUGCUGUUGUUCUUUUCCCCACCCCCCCACUCUCCCUCCUCUUUAUAUGUGGCUCCUCUCCUCCCACUGCUCCCUCCUUUCUUUUCCUGCCUUUUGCUCAGUUGCAUGGUCUUUGAUUGAUUGGGGUUGUAGCACCCCCCCCCCCCCCUCUUAAGGUUUUUUGUUCUCUUUUCUUAAAAUGCCACUAUUACCCCCCUGUUUUGGGCCUGCUGUGUCUUUAUCUGCUUGUGUUUGUUCAAGCAAAAGGAAAGUAAAAAGUAAAAACUUGUUUUUUGGUUUGUGGUUUGGUAGUGUUGGCUUUGCUUGGACUGUAAGCCAAUAUAUGGGCUCUUGAUUUGUAUUCCUUCUGUAAAGCAGAGAUUGUAGUAGGAAAGCCAACUUUUUUUUUUUUUUUUUUUUGUGUUCCCACCCUCUAUUAGUCCUUGUUUUGGCCCUUGCAAUAUGUGAGAAGGAAAAAGGGGGGGAAUGAUUGGGUUUUGUGCUGAGGUUUGAAUAGUGUAAUACCCUUUCUCAUUACAGGAGAAUGACUACUACUACUACUACCCAUUUCAUUUAUUUAUUUUAUUUAUUUGUUUUUCUGAGAUGUGCUUUGUUACAUUCCUUGGCUUCAGGGUUAAUAUAUAUAUAUUAUAUUUAUAUAUAUAUAUAUUAUAUAUAUAUAUAUAUAUACUAUAUAUAUAUAUAAUUAUAUACGCCAUACCCUUUUUUUUUUUAAUACUUAGCAGUUUACCUUUGUUGUCAAAACUCAAAUUUUUUAUGGGUUUGUCACCAGUGAUCAAUCAUGGGGAGGUAAAACCCAUGAAUAUUUUAACUGCUCUUAGUCUCACUCUCAUGCUUUUGUCUCUUUGUUUCCUACUGUGGGAGGGGGAAACCCCACUGCUAUGAUCCAUCAGAGAGAGGAUCCCACUUUAAGUGUAACUAUAGCAUUUGGCCUUAUGCUAUUAGGAGGUGGUGGAAAAUGUAUAAUGCUUCUCCAGCCAUGGGGCCCCAUCCUUUUGGUCUUUGUGCUGUGUGAAAACCCAAUUCUCUGAUCACUUAAAAACAAACAGCUACUUCUUGUGGCCAUCAAAUGGUUGUGUGAUUUAUUUUUUUGGAAAUGAUGGAUGCCUGAUCAACUCCGUAUUCCAUUGCUUUCUUGCUUGUUAUUAGGCAAUGAACUAUCACUCUCUUGUAGGCAUUGUAUAAGGAAAUGGACCACUUUCUAUUUUAGGUUGUAGUAUGGGAUACUUUUUUAUGUUCAUGUUUGAGAGCAAAGUGGAGUGCUGUUUAUCUCCUGUUCUACCUAAACUCCAUUGUUUUUUCUUUUUUUCUUUUUCCUUUUUUUUUGUUUGUUUGUUUUGGUUCAGGUCCCCUUGGGGAGGCAGUGUUUGGCUACCAACUAGGCAUUUGAUGGUCUCAGCACCUUCAUGCACAUGAGGAAGGUUGGUGUUUUAAAUAAGCUUUUCCAAGCCAUGAUAUGGCUCCUUAGCUUUUUCUUUUUUAUAUUUAAUUAUUGUCAAAGGAAUGGUUUGGCAUUUCUUUAUUAGUGCAUCAAGUGAGACCUUUUCAGCAUUUUAGAGUAUUUUAUUUGCUUCUUUGAUUGGAUGCUUGCAAAUUUUUUGUACUUUUCUUAAUGCCUAUAUUUAUCUUAGUCUUUGAGUUAAGUGUUUCUUGGCUCUAUCUCAUUCUUCACCCUGUUGUGGAAAUUCAGAGCAUUAUAUUCUGAUGAACCCUGAUACUUUACUAUCUUUUAUGUAGCUUUUUUUCUUUGUUGUUUAAUUGGAUCUGAUUUGCCUUCUCUUUUGUCCCUUUUUCUCAUUCUGGCUCCUUGACAUGAAGAGUUCAGGUAUAUGGUUCUUCAAUUAGGCAAGUAUUAUGUGCUUAGAUAGCGGCUACAAGCUUUUGAUUUUGCUUAUGAUUCAUGAAAAGUAUGUCUCAAAUGCUCAAAAUGAUGCUUUCCAUGCUACUUCUGACUAUGUCACACAUACAAUGACGGUUAAUGUUGUCAUGAGUGUGGUUAAUCUCAUGCCUUUCUGAGUUGAAAAUCUUUGAUUGCGCACUUUUAAGUCUAGCACUUAAUUAGUCAAUGUCUUAUUUUGGUCAGACCUGUGUAAACUGGUGUUUAUAUUGUGAGAGCAUUCGGGAGAAAGGCGAACUUUGAUGCAUUGGCUGUUUUACUUGAUAUAGUGUGAAAUAUAUGCUUAAAAUUACUCAACAUUGUCUUCUGCUCCUAGUAUAUUCUUUCUUUCAGCCGUCCAUCUAAAUAAGUUUUAUGUUUGCGUUUCUCGACUACUCUUUUUUAAAAUAGCGUAAUGCUGUCUCUACUUGUUUUAAGCAAAAUUUUGGAGCUUCAUUUAGUAGGAUUCCGUGCUGCGUUGGAAAAUUUUUAGCUUAUGUAUCAUCAUCUAAACCAGGAUGAAAGCACCUGAUAAACCAGUUUAAUGUAAUCUUUGCAUAUGCAAAUAAACCAUGGCAAGAGUUCCCCACAACUAAGAGGAAUAAUUUUUUUUUUCCUGUGCUUGCUUGCGUAAAUUCAUCACUAGUUCUUUCCUACUAUUCUAGUUAGACUGAUUAAAAUUAUUGUUGAUUGCCACUUAAAACCAUGGUUAUUACAUAUAUAUUUUUUUCGAAAAUUUUAUCCAUCUCUAUGACUUACUCUUUCCUUUACUAUCUCAGGACAACAUCACUUGAUAAGGGAACUUUGAACAGAAAACAGUGCCUACUCAUGAAUGUUAAAUUUGUUGUUAGGACUUGAUAGUUUUCUCCCAUAUUGCUUAAUAGUAAAGAUGCAUUAAACUAUUGGGGAUGUCAAUCUCAAUGAGUAUAACUAUUCUACUAUCUGAGAAGUUCACGGUUCAACUUGUCCGUAAGGGAGUAGCAGAAUCAACUAGUAAUAAAUAGUCUCACCUUGAGUGAUCUUUGUUUGAGAUCAAGGAACUAUCUUGCCAUUAUUCCUCUGGUUACGUUAAAAAGAUAAAUACUAUGGAGAAUGAUCUAUUCAAUGCCUCCCUAUCAAUGUCGAGCAAUAGCCAUUUUGCCAUCGAACCAUCUCUCUCAACAUUACAAGUAGAAGCGAUGGACAAUAUUUAUAUGACCCACAAUGGUCUGGUCAAUUACGAUUUACCAUUUUCUUCCACUAUGGGCCAAGAAGGAAGCGCGCCUUUUAAUGGGCCUUUCGGUAAUGAUGAUCCAAGAGAACAUUUCACGGGAACUUCACUUCCGACUGCUCCAGUGUCCAACCUUUUCGGCACUUGUUUACAAGAAAAUCCCUCUAUUUUUACAUUGGAAGACAUGAGAACUUCUAUAUCGAGUAAUAGCUGCAAGACUAUGAGUUCUUCACUUACUGCAUCAGUAAAUCGCAAUUUUGGGCCAGAAAAUGAUGACAAACUGAACGGAGAAACUGAUCGUGCAUGGAGCUAUGAUGAAAGGAUAUUUAAUUAUUUUCAUCCAUUAUAUCAUGUCGUGGGAAGCUCGGAUUCUUCGUGGAUCUUUAAUAGAUCAGAUAUGAACUUCUCUCAACCACACCAAAGCUAUGCACCAAGUAAUGAACUUUCUCUAAGUCUUGGCUCCUAUCACCCUUCUAUUAUGACCACGACUAAUAUUUCAGAUCAAAGCUCAGAAGUAAGCUACUCUGGCGUAUCCCGUGAUAGUAAAAAUGAUGGUGUGCAUCAAAACUGUUUCAACAAUGAGGAGCUUUCGCUAUACAAUGCCUCUUCUAGGCCCAUUCAUUUUUCUCGUUUAUUACUAGGAUCAAGGUACCUUCACGUGGCCCAACAAAUACUUGCUGAAGUUGCAACUUAUGCAUUACAAGAUGUUAAUGAGGCAAUGGACACAGUUUCUGGAAUUGAGGAGGAACCAAAGAUUUCUUUUAUGUCGAUUACAAAUGUGUGCUCUGAUGAGCUUCAGUUUUCUUCUGGAGAAGCCAAAUCCACAGAAUAUAUAGGUGCUCAACGACAGCACGAAGCUGACACAACGAAAAGUGAGCUGCUAACUAUGCUCCACUUGGUGAGUCAAUCCUUUUCCCUUUUGGAUUCUGUUUGCUGUAUGGAGAUCUUUCCCCAGUUUGGCUUAAACUUCUUGUAAUAAACAGUUUCUUUAUUUUUCCCAGUUACUUGUUUUUCUCCGACUUUCAAAUAUCAUAUGGAAUAUUCGAAGUAGAUAAUUCAGCUGUUUGUUGCAAUUUGUUCUGAUGCUGUAGGAAUAAUUUGUAAUAGUGAUGGUGAAAUUGCUCCAGAAUGAAUGUUGUCGGUUCAAUAUUUAUGAACCUAAAAUCUACUUGGCAGAUUACUAGCCUACUUUAUUUGUGCUUUCCUUGAUUUUCUUUAUAAUGCAGUUUUGAUGUCUAACGAUGCCUCCUGUCUUGAGAUUGUAGGUUGAUCGUAAGUACAGUCAAUGCUUAGAUCAGAUCCAAAACGUCGUAUCUGAAUUCAAUAAUGCUACCGAUUCUAGUGUUUCCAACAUUCACGCUCAGUUUGCUCACCAUGCGAUCACCGCCUUAUACAAGAACUUGAGAGAGAGAAUUGCUACUCAGAUUGUGUUGAUUGCUCAACAACCUAACACAAGCUGCAUUAGCGAAACGGAGAAAAGCUUUGAAUCUGCUUUUAUCCAAAAGCAGUGGGCUUUGCAGCAGCUAAAGAGGGGUGAUCAGCAAUCUUGGAGACCCCAAAGGGGCUUGCCUGAAAAGUCUGUCUCGGUUCUACGUGCAUGGAUGUUCCAGAACUUUCUUCACCCGUGAGUUUGCUUACUAGCGAAACUAAUCAGAUAAUUUUUGAUGACGUGAAACUGCAUUUGAUUCCUUUUAUUAUAUUUCAGUUACCCGAAAGACAGUGAGAAGCAUUUGCUCGCCUUAAAAAGCGGUUUGACCCGGAGCCAGGUAUUUGCCGAUCACAAAUGCUCUUCUGCUAGUUUUAUGUUUAUGCAAUAUGAGAUAUUUAGUCCUGUAAAAUUAUUUAUUGCAUAUAUCCCUGCAAAAUCUUUCCCUUUUUUACAGUAAAAAAAAAAGCCCAGAUGUUUUACAGGUAAUAUGUAAAUAAGUAAUUGUGCGGUGAGGUGAAAUUCCUGGUCAUACUGAAAAAGUUCUAUGUUCAACUAAUUACAUACUCUGCUGAUUGAUUUUUUUAAAAAAUAGGUGUCUAACUGGUUUAUUAAUGCUCGGGUUCGGCUGUGGAAACCGAUGAUCGAAGAGAUGUACUCAGAACUCAAUAAGAGCCGAAGCGAAGAAGGAUCAGGGGGUGAGAAAAGAGUGCAGGGAAAUACUGGUAGUCAAAGAUUCCAAAUGAGCUAAUAGCUAGGGUUAUACCUAAUUGUUUGUGUAUAUUUCUUUUUUAGCGAAUUAUCGAUGAUGUCUAAACCCUAUUUAAUAUAUCUGCUUAUAACAAUUCAUCCUCUUUUAGCGAAUGACUGAUGAUGCUUUUAGCUGCAGUGAGCUGUGGGAUGAUUUUAUGAAAAAAGCUGUUUGAGCUAUCUCUAUGUACUUACGGAGCAUUCAUACAUAUGGAUGGUGAAGGUGGUUUUAGUCUUAACAAUUAAUAUUUGUGAAUCAAUUAUGGUGUUGUUUUCUGCUUCAAUUGGUGUUUAUAAGCUAUAAUUAUGGAGAAGUGCUCACAGUAAUUUGAGAUUUGUCGACUGUUGAUGAUUAAACACAAAUUUUUAUGGUUUGUCUUAUGUAAGAGGGAAAUGUUUUUUCCUGGUGAAACCCAAAUAUUGAGAGCACAAUCUCUAUAUCAGAUCAUCUCUCUCACUGAUUUUUUUUUUUUUUGUUAACUAAUGUGAAUAUUUUCCUGUUGUACAAGCUGCUUCUGAACUUCUUGUUAAUUGAAUGAGACAAAUCUCUCAAUAAAUAACAUAAAUAUUUUUGUCAACUACUGAAGCUAAACAUAUUCUUCACUUUGCCCCAGCUGAUCUUUGUUCACCUGUUCUUUAUGUGUGUCAUAGAGUUCUGCUCGUAGUUCGACCAAUACUCUGCGACAAGUUUGGCGAAGGCCGAGUUUUUAGAUUCCAGUAGCUUCAAUGGUUUAUCAUACUCCACAAGUUUUCCUACAAAGAAAUGAAAACAUGGAUUAAUCUAAGCUCUAUGAUCAUUUUUGAAUGAUAAUGCAAAGGAAAUAUACAAUAAUAUCACACGUAAAAUGACAUGUUACCAUACGAAAGAACCAUAACCAAGUCACUAUCUGUGACAGUUGGGACUCUGUGAGCUAUGGUUAUAACAGUGCAGCUUGAGAAUUCCCGCUUAAUAACUCUUUGGAGUGUAGCAUCAGUGGCGGAGUCGAUCGAUGCAGUUGCUUCAUCGAGAACUAAGAUUUUGUUCCUUUUAAGGAGGACGCGGCCGAGACAGAAUAGCUGGCGCUGCCCCGCGCUCCAAUUUUCACCGUCGUCGCUCACUGCCAUGACAGCAGGAUAGAAUCAUGCCCAAAAAUUCCGUAUAAAAUUUAUCAUUCAUGUAUUUUGUAAGUGGAAAAUAUAUUGUAGGCAUGUCUCGAAGUGGAGUAACUCACCUGCUGAAUCCAGAAGAGCAGGGAGACUGCUGAUGGUGCUCUUUAAUUGGCACUUCUCUAGAGCCUGUGAUCGACACAUGGAAGUAUCAUGUUCAAAUAGUUGGUUAUUAAAUUUGAAAGUGCAGAGAACAAUUUUUUUCUUUUUCCAACAUUAAUCUAGCAUAUAGUGUUAGACAAUUUUUGAUAUUAUUAUGUGGUAAAGUAUUUUUGGCAUCUUACUCAGUAAUUGCGGCCUUAAGCUCCACUAGAAACUCAGAAGAUGGCAAUCUAAGUAUGCUUUCGAAAAAUCAUUUGAACAUGCUGGUUUUUUAUUUACUGCUUGUCUUGGAAAAUGUUUUGAACUUCUUUGUUUUGUCAUCACUAAUUUAGUUGUUAUUAUUCAUCUAUAAAAAUAUACAAAAUCUCAUGAUUACCGACGACUUCAUACAUGAGAGACAUAGUAAAUUCCUAACCUCCCAAAUUUCAUGGUCUGUGUGAAGGCCUAGAGGAUCCAAGUUACCGCGCACGCUCCCUCUGAAAAGAGUCGGCUCUUGAGGAAUAAUACUAAGCUUCAUUCUUAGAUCCUUUAAACCAAUGGUGCAUAUAUCAAGAUUAUCAAUAAGAAUUCUCCCGACAGUCGGAUCCACAAGACGAAAUAAAGCACUUAUUAAAGUCGUUUUCCCGCUUCCGGUCCUUCCGACCACUCCAAUCUUGUUUCCUGCUACAAAAGUGCAAGUGAUUCCUUUGAGAACGAAUGGAGCAGUCGGGCGAUACUUAACCUGAUCAUCAAACAAAUACAUGAAUGUUAACAUUUAUCAGGUAUAAGACCAUUUUAUGAUUAACUACAAUUGUCUCCUCACUUUCAGAUUUUCCAAAUCAAUCCUUCCUUCGAAAGGCCACGAAGGAGGCGGCCUUCUUUCAACAAUAACAGCAGGGGGCUCUGGCGGAAUAUGCAUAUAUUGCUUGAUUCUCUCCACAGAGAUUACAUAGUUUUCAAGGUUCGAGUAGAACCUUGUUAGAAAUACUUGCGCAGAAGAGAGUGUAAGAGCAUAAGAAAGGCAGAGACCUAGAAAACCUGAAACAUAUUAAGAAAAAAAAACUUAAUUGGGCAUUUAAACUUCAAAGAAUUAUAAAAAUUCGACAAAGAUUGGGAAUUUUCUAAAUUCAAGUUAGAGCUGCACCUGGAGCAGUUGUUCCCUCAGUAAGAAAAACAAGAAAAACAGAUGCAGUAAUUAUAAUCAGAAUUUGGAGUGCUUCAACUCUUAAAAGAACCCACUCCAAUGCAGCAAUUGUAUGGAAAAAUAAUGCUGCAUCAGUGUCAAUAAGCUGCAGAUUGUUUUGAAUAAACCUUUUUGUCAUUGCAAAAGCCCUUAUAGUAACCACCCCAAGCAUUGAUUCUGCUGUGUAGUUCAUAAUAGGUGCCUUUGUCGUUCCAUUGAUUCUUACUAGCUCCCUUGCCGACGCUAUGUAAUACCUCUUCAAAAAGAAUGCAUUUAUAUUUAGUUUAUAACUCCAUUGUUUAUUUAAGAGAGAGAAAAUUAGAAUAGAUGGUCCAUUAUGUCGCGCACCUGGAUAUACAGUAUAAGAAUUAUUGCUGGGAUUGCUACAAACAGCACUUGCCAUGUAACUGAGACCAUGAUUAUUAUAGUUCCAGUGAUCUCAAUAGCACCAGAGAUCACAAACGCAAGGGUGUAAGGUAUAUCGAAGUCCAAAAUACUCAUAUCUGAAGAUGCCUGCAAUAGACAACCUAAAGAUGAUUCAACAUAUAUCAGAUGAUUUAUCUAAUUUUGAAAUCCUAAAUUUUUGAGAGUGCUGGUUACAUAUAGAAUACUGCAAUUGCACCAGCAUGUAAAAUCCUAUCCUGAUAAACUGUAAAUCCUGCAAAGAUAUCUUACUGUCUCUGAGAAACAGCAUUUUGGUAUUGAAAAGAAUAAGAAGAAGAAUAAGUACCCGGGUUACAAUUCUUCCCGUCGGAGUUGAAUCGAAGAACAACAUGGGAGCCUUAAACACUGAAUCCAUGAAUCCCGAAAAGAAUGCUUUUGAGGCCUUUAAUCCAAGAUGAGCUGCUAACAAGCUCCUAAUAUAAGCAAAAAUGCAACUAGAUGUAGACAUAAUUGCGUAAACUCCAACCACAAUUCCACUAGCAAAGUGGUGCAUCUGAACAGCAAAAGCCAGCCAAUAGGUUGCUAGACAUUGAAGAAGGACAAAAAGCGACUGUGUCAAUAAAAUCAGGCCAAAAAGAAAUGAACACUUUGAAACUGAAAUAUAGUCCUUAUAUGGUUUCAAUCCAAGUUCUCCUGUUUCCCUUUUUUCGUCUUCCGUGAGCUGGAUUGCAGAUAGGCCCUUAACUGUGAUUUCUCCCUCACUAUUUUGCUUUACAGGCUUUAAUGGAUCCUUAAAUGAUGCUUGAUUUUCUAGUUGUUUUUCAUGAUUUUGAGAAUCUAGGGUAGUUUUCGAAGAUUUAUGAGCAUUGACAAGCUGUUCAAAUGCCGUCCCGGACUUCAGAAGAUCUUCAUAAGUUCCUUCUUGUGUAACUUGUCCAUUUUCCAUGACCUAGAGAAAUAGACCUCGAAUCUUAGUUAGUCUUUAACAUUUGUCAAUAUAUUAUUUUACAGGAAGAUUACUUACCAAAAUUCUAUCAGCUUUAGCAAGAAACUCGACUUGAUGGGUCACAAGAAUGACAGUCUUCCUCUCUAGAGCAGUCAUGACGCAAUCCUGUGAUUUAUUGGUAGUCAUUCAGAAGUUCACACCGAUUACAGUAAUAGGAGCUUUGUAUCUCUGCAAAGUCAUCUUUUCACACAUGUAUCCUGUAAAGCCUAAAGUUUUCAAAAGUACCCCUUAAAAAUCGAGCUUCUUACAAAAUAUCCUUAUCUUAAGUUGACGAGUCAUCGAAGUCGUCAAGGGGAAAUUGAUUUUGUAUCAGAAAAAGAUUUUAAAAAUGGGCAUUUUUUUUAGGAGAGAGCUGUUAUGUGUAAGAAAUUGAGUCUUCGGAAGUGCACACAUGAGAUUUUGGAUUUUACAAGUGUAAACAAUUUUGGAGAAGUAUAUAUGUACAUACCUAUAAAUAAUCUAUACUUUGUUAGUUAGAUUCCGUCAAUAGCAAAUUUCAUGCUCAUAUAAGAUAUGGUCCACUCACAUGAAAUAGGAUUGCCGCAGUAUGUGCAUCUACUGCACUAAAAGGAUCGUCUAGGAGAUAGGUGUCUGCGUCAUUGUAGACCGCUCGCGCAAGCUGAAUCCUUUGCUUCUGUCCUCCACUCAUAUUUAAUCCUCUUUGGCCUAUCUCAGUAAGAUCUCCAUGAACAAAAUUCUCAAUAUCCUUAUCUAGAGCACAAGAUUCAAUGGCCUUUUUGUAGAGUUCCGCAUUCAUGGGCUUCCCAAAGAGUAUGUUGUCGCGAAUGGUGCCGCUUUGGAUCCAAGAUGUUUGUGAAACAUAAGCGAUAGAGCCAAAAAUUUCCACCUAAACAAAGAAAAAGACUAAUUGAAGAAAAGCCAAAAGAGAAAGGGUAAGAUAAAUGAUGAAUAUUCGUUCUAACUGUUUACUAACUCACUGAUCCAGAGAUUCUGGGUAUCUCCCCAAGAAUAGCAUAUAGCAAUGAUGAUUUUCCAGCACCUACAGGGCCACAAAUUGCAACCUUCUCUCCGCUUCUUAUACUCAAAUUUAUGUUGCUCAAAGUUGGAAUAUUCGUGCUAGGUUCCCAACUGAACAUACCGUUGUGAACAUUAACAGAAAUAUCAGAAUUAUGCAAUGAAUUUCUUUGAACAUCCUCAUCCUUACACUCUUCCUCAAGGAGAAAAACACCGAUACGGUCCAAUGAUACUUUUACUUGGAUCAUCAUAGAGAGUGCUUCAGGGAUCAUCCUCAUUGGCUCUGAAAUCACUCUCAAGGUUGAUAGAAUUGUGAAAAUUGUACUAGCAUCUAAAGAAGCACUUCUCAUGGCAGCUGUUCCAGCAAAAAUCACGGCUGAAACAAUUGUAGGAGCCAUCCAAAACAAAGCACUUCCAUAUGCCUUCUUAAUCUGGGUUUCUUUCAGCCACUUAAUCUCUACAUCUCGAAGAGCUUCGAUCGCCAUUCUGAACUUCUCCUCCCACGACUGUAACUUGAUGAUCUUCAUAUUGUUUAACACUUCAGAAGUAGCUCUUUGUCUCUCAUCUUGCGCGAUCAUGAAUUUUGACUGGUAUUUUUGUAGCAUCUUCGCGAAAGGGAUAUUAAUGAUUCCACAAAUCGUGAGAGGGGCCAAACCCGGAAGCGCUCCUAAACUGACCGUCCAAAAUAGUAAGAUUACGGCUAAAAGCAGCUGCAGUGGUUGGCUCCAUGCUAAGUGAAGCCAAAAGGGGAAUUCACCAAGUCUAUAGGCAUCAACUGCAAUGUAAUUUACAAUUUCUCCCGCAGAAUGCCUUUUUCUACCUUGGCUCGAAAGCUUAAGCUGCUUUUCAAAGAUAGCAGCCAUCACAGCGGAGCGCAUCUUCAUUCUGAGCCUUCUCGAACCAAAAAACCAAUGCCUUUGAGACAAGGACUCAACAAUUUUUAUUACGAUUAAGUAACCCACUAGAGAAAUGCCCAAGAAGAGAUCUCUUCUUUCUUGAUAAGAAUACGAGACAAACGAAUACAGCAAAAUAGGAGAGGCUGCAAAGGAUAGCGUCCUCAGCAAUGUGUACAAAGCGGUUACAAGAAUUUCCUUCAAGUAACACUUAGCGAGCACUACGAAAACCAAGUUAUCGGUGCUUGUAUUUUCCUGCACAUGGAGGUCCCAUUCUCUCAAAAACGCUUCACAAGCUUGAAACGCGCCAUCUUCAUUGUCCAAAGGAGGGAUGUCAUUGAGAUCCAAUGGUUUCGAGUAGCCUAAUUUUAGUAAUGGGUUCAUCCAGGUAAAUGUCAAGCGGCUGAAAAAGCCCGCUUCGCUAAAUUCCGUUCUUUUCGCAUUCUGCGCACUCAGCAGGGGUUUAGAUAAGCUAUCGUUCGAAGGGUCUCGAUAAGCAUCGCUUUUAUUAAGCCUAAUAGCACAGAAAAGUAGAAUCAAGCUUGUAGGCCAUGAUAUCGCGUCGAGAACUCGAAGGCUGUGAGAGUUGACCAGAAUUUCCAAGUUAUAUGCAGAGAUGAGAACUGAGAAUAAGAUCCACCAAAAUUGAGCAAAGGUUUUCAACCAUUUGGCGGGCUGAUAGUUUAAGGAAACUAACAAAAAUAACCAAAUCAAUCCCCUAAGAACGCAAUCGAUUCGCUCCCAAGGUUUAAGCUCCCCACUAGAUAAAGCCCAUAAUCCGAUUAUCAUAUACGCAAUGCCGGUUACCGCGCAACACGCAGAAGCAAUGGCUAUAGAAAAUCCCCAAUUUGAGUUCCUGUUUCUGCUGCUAUGCUGUUUUCUGAAUACAGCUACUAUUAAUGAACUCAAACAGUAGGUAAUGAGAAAAAGCAGAUUCAGAAGAUCAAUCAAACUUCUCUGCAGGCACAGAGAUCCCCAAUUUGACUUCUCUCCGCAAAUCCGGAGAAACCAAUCUGCCAUUAUAAUUAAGCAACACAAAAGAACAGUACGAUUCACAUUUUAAGGCCAAAAUAAGAACACCAAAAGAUAUAUAAGCAUCAUACUCAGUUGGAACAUCGCUCGAACAAACUCAUAAUAUAUGAAGGAUAGAAUAAUAAAAGAACAAACAAAGAAGCUAAUUAAGGGGAAAAACAAUGGAAAAUAUAUUUUACAUGAGAGGUCACAAAAUGGUACCUUGGUGACUACAAAGAGAAGCCAUUUUUGACAAAACCUGCUCUGCUGUUUUGCUAAGUGCUUAGUUUAAGCUCCUUGUAGCAAAACAACAAAUACCCAUUUCGAAAAGCGUUUUGUAGACGCCAAAAUACGUGCUAAAUACUACAAAUAAAAAGGGGUUGCGUAUUUUUGUGGGGCAUUUACUUCGUAGUUUGUCACCUUCCUCAGGAUAUUUACUCUCUUUUUUUAUUAUUAUUAUUAUUUUUUGUCGCCUAGCACGUUUUCAUGAAUACAACGGAUCCAUCCUCGAGUAGAUUAUUGUGAAGUUCUUUUUUUGCGUCGCGUUGCAGGCGAACGCAAGUCGCAAAGCACCGAGGUCGUAUUCGGUAAAAGGACAACGCUUUGAAAGUUUCUUCUGAAAGCCAUAAAUAUGCUGUCGAGCUGACGUGUCAUGUACAGAUUAGUUCGUAACAAAUAAUAUUCACGGAUAAAGUAUUCGUGAUAAACUUCGAAUAUCAUUCCUGAUAUUUCAUUUUUUUUAUUUAAAUAUUAUAUAAUUUAGGGAAAACUUUAAAAACCUCUAAUGUAGUUUCAUACUUUUUCAUUUUAGUACCGUGUGCUUUAAAGUGUAUCAAGUUAGUACCCUGUGAUUUCUCACUUUAUCACUUUAGUACCCUGUGGUUUAAAGUGUAUCAAGUUAGUAUCCUGUAGUUUUAUUUUUUUAUCAAGUUAGUACCCUUUGGUUUUUAAACCACAAGGUACUAAAGUGAUAAAGUGCGAAACCACAGGGUACUAAGUGAUAAAGUGCAAAACCACAUGCUACUAACUUGAUACACUUUAAACCACAGAGUACUAAAGUGAAAGAGUGCAAAACCAUAUAGUACUAACUUGAUACACUUUAAACCACAGGGUAUUAAAAUGAAAAAAAAUAAAACCAUAAGGGGGUAUUUGAAGUUUUUCCUAUAAUUUAAAAUGUAUUAAUUUAGUAUUAUGUAAUUUUAUUUUUUUCUUUUCGUGAGCCUUUUUGUUAACUUUUUGUUAAAUCGUAUACAAAAAAACUUUAGAUGUCUCACCCAUAGUUUAUCGAAUAUUCAUUUUAACACCUUUUAAUUUUAAUUUUCUCACUGAUUUAACAAAAAAAAUUAAUAAAGGGGAUAAAAAAAAGAAAAAAAUUAUAGGGUACGAAAGUACGUAAUACACUUUAAACUAUAUGAUAUUAAAGUAAAAAAUAUUUGAAAAUUUUCCAAAUAUUUACAAGAGACGUGUAUACUGUUUAGUAAGUAAUUGAGUAUUUGUACAUUGCCAUAGAGUUUUAAUUGGUUUGUAAAAGUAAUUUAAGAUCUCAUAUGAACAUAUUAAUAUGAUUAUUUAUACAUGUCUUAUUGAGAUUAUUUCAGAUCUUAGUAGAUUUAUAUUUUUUAGUUAUAUUAAAAUUUAGCAUUAUUAUAAAUAUAUAUAUUUUAUUUUAUUGAUUUGGUACGGUAGAUUAAAAGAGUAUUAUAAUAUUUUUUUCGACUACAAUUUUAUAAGAGAGGCAUUUUGUACACCACUAUAAUAAUAAUAAAAAUCUUUCUUGUGUCUUUGCAUAUGGAUAAGCCAGUGGACGGACCGCGUAAAUAUUUAUAUACUUUACUUUUCUUUUUCUCUCUUUUUAAAUUCUUUUUUAGUAUUUUUCUGCACGACAAAUUAGAUUAUUUUUGUUUUUAUCAUAAUAAACUAGUACCAAAGAAAUUUUGGUACCAAUAUAAAUUGUGAAUUUCUAACAAUAUAAAUACUUGGUGGGAGACCAUUAACUGGGGAAUCCUAGAUAUUUUGCAUAACUAAUUGAUCUCUAAACAAUUAUUCCUUUGAAAAGGAACUGUUGCAAUCAAUUGAUGGCGUCUUCUGUUCGGCUUCUUUUGGAUUGAAAUGAUAUAUACUAUCAUAUGGGUUUAUUGCCACUACAAUUAUGGAGAUAAUGAUGUGAGUUCUUAGAUCUAUGCCUAGUAUAAUCAUGGAGUUAUAAAUUGUUCGUUAGCUCUGUUUUGUAAUCUGAUGGUCUUACGGACCGUCCCUAGAGCAAGUGUCAAAGGGUUUGGUGGUUGGUACCCAAGAUCCAAGUUCGAAUCCAAGUUGAUUCACAUUUCCAGCUAAGUUUAUUUCUAAAUGAAAUAAACGAAACGGGUAGCGUGCUACCUAUCUCUCAAUAUAUAUAUAUAUAUAUAUAUAUAUAUAUAUAUAUAUAUAUAUAAUCUGAUGGUCUUAAGAGAGAUACUCAUAGUAAUGUUUCUUACUUCUUUUUUUUUUUUGUAAAAGUAAAAUAAUGAAUAACUAAUGUAGAAACUCACGAUGCGGUGGAUAAAAGUAUUUCAAUUUUAACAAAUUUAAUAAAUAAAUAAAAAUAUAAAAAAUUAAUAAUAUAAAAAUAUAGAAAAAAUUUUUAGAAUGAAAUUACAAUCUAACAUAAAAUAAUAUAAGAAACAAAAAAAGUAAGAAGUGUAAGAAUAAGAAAAUGAUUAUAUAGAUAGCCUAAAGAAAUAUUUAGAAUAUUAUGAAAAAAGUAUAACAAAUAAUAAAAGAUAAAUUGAAGAGACUCAAAUGUAUAUUUAACUAAUCAUAUAAAAAGAUUUAUCUAUUUUAUUCUCUUUUCUAAUCCAAAUCAGAUUUCUCUUAAACGCCAGCUAUCAUUGCAUUUACCUAUGGACAACAAAAUUGUCAUGUUAUUUUUAUAGAAUUAGUACAGAAUGCAAAAAAACUGAAGAAAAAAUAGCAAGAAAUAUAUUACAGCCAUAUAAAUAAAUUUUACAAAUAAUAAUAGUUAGUUUUAACUACCUAGAUUGUAAAAAUCCAUUUUUCAUACAUACAAAAACCAAACAACCUAUAUAUUAUUUUAGUCUGUUGAUGCAACAGGACAAUUUAAUAAGUGUUCUCAAUAAUUUUACUUUGUCAAUUUUUAUGUUACUCAAAUAACUUAUUUAUGAAAUAAUAUAUAGUAUACAACAAAGAAAAACACUUAAGGAAUAAAUUUUUUUUUAUUAUUUAUUAUGAAGCGUAAAAAGUAGAAAUAAAUAAGGCAGAAAGCUGAAGAGAUAAUAAUUUUUACGAAGAAGCACAUUGUGGAUGAGUGAAUAAAGAGCGAAAUGAUUGGCAAGUAGUAUUUAAUAAGGGGGAAGCCGAAGAGGCAAUAAUGCUAUGGAAAAGGCAAGUGGACACACUGUGGAGGAGCGAACGAAGAGUGAAGCGAUUGAAAAGUAAAAAUAGAAAAAAAAAAAAGAAAGAGAAACUCUAGAGG
This 25665-nucleotide long non-coding RNA is filed under the name Ananas comosus (pineapple). RNAcentral's name for it is "long non-coding RNA (ACOM_LNC015918)". Lineage: Eukaryota; Viridiplantae; Streptophyta; Magnoliopsida; Poales; Bromeliaceae. The record is from RNAcentral.